Molecule: ribosomal RNA, 508 nt
Filed under: uncultured bacterium
Lineage: Bacteria
Description: bacterial SSU rRNA
Rfam family: Bacterial small subunit ribosomal RNA
Source: RNAcentral
AGAGUUUGAUUAUGGCUCAGGAUGAACGCUAGCUACAGGCUUAACACAUGCAAGUCGAGCGGAACACCUUCGGGUGUUCAGCGGCAGACGGGUGAGUAACACGUAUCCAACCUUCCCUACUCGGGCAUAGCCGUCUGGAAACGGAGAGUAAUUCCCGAUGAAGUGUACGAGGAGCAUUUUUUGCACACCAAAGAUUCGAUCGGUAAGGGGUGGGGAUGCGUUCCGAUUAGGUAGUAGGCGGGGCAACGGCCCACCUAGCCGAUGAUGGAUAGGGGUUCUGAGAGGAAGGUCCCCCACAUUGGAACUGCGACACGGUCCAAACUCCUACGGGAGGCAGCAGUGAGGAAUAUUGGUCAAUGGGCGAGAGCCUGAACCAGCCAAGUAGCGUGCAGGAUGAACCGGCCCUACGGGUUGUAAACUGCUUUUGUGCGGGAAUAACGGUCAUUACGUGUGAUGAUGUGCAUGUACCGUACGAAUAAGGAUCGGCUAACUCCGUGCCAGCAGCUGC